UGAGGAAUAUUCGGCAAUGGGGGCAACCCUGACCGAGCAACGCCGCGUGGAGGAAGACGGUUUUUGGAUUGUAAACUCCUUUUCGGUGGGAAGAGCAAGGACGGUACCACCGGAAUAAGUCACGGCUAACUACGUGCCAGCAGCCGCGGUAAUACGUAGGUGGCAAGCGUUAUCCGGAAUUAUUGGGCGUAAAGCGCACGCAGGUGGCGGGCUAAGUCUGACGUGAAAGCUCCUGGCUUAACUGGGAGAG
This 250-nucleotide ribosomal RNA is filed under the name uncultured bacterium. RNAcentral describes it as "partial 16S ribosomal RNA". It matches the Rfam family "Bacterial small subunit ribosomal RNA", at positions 355 to 621 of the family's 1533-position model. The record is from RNAcentral.